AUUGAACGCUGGCGGCAUGCUUUACACAUGCAAGUCGAACGGCAGCGCGGGCUUCGGCCUGGCGGCGAGUGGCGAACGGGUGAGUAAUACAUCGGAACGUGCCCAGUAGUGGGGGAUAGCUCGGCGAAAGCCGGAUUAAUAACGCAUACGACCUGAGGGUGAAAGCGGGGGAUCUUCGGGCCUCGCGCUAUUGGAGCGGCCGAUGGCAGAUUAGCUAGGUGGUGGGGUAAAGGCCUACCAAGGCGACGAUCUGUAGCUGGUCUGAGAGGACGACCAGCCACACUGGGACUGAGACACGGCCCAGACGCCUGCGGGAGGCAGCAGUGGGGAAUUUUGGACAAUGGGCGAAAGCCUGAUCCAGCAAUGCCGCGUGUGUGAUGAAGGCCUUCGGGUUGUAAAGCACUUUUGGCGGGAACGAAAAGGACUGUGCCAAUACCACGGUUCGAUGACGGUACCCGCAGAAUAAGCACCGGCUAACUACGUG
RNAcentral lists this ribosomal RNA (484 nucleotides) under uncultured bacterium. Its description in RNAcentral is "partial 16S ribosomal RNA". It matches the Rfam family "Bacterial small subunit ribosomal RNA", at positions 29 to 507 of the family's 1533-position model. The record is from RNAcentral.